This 494-nucleotide ribosomal RNA is filed under the name uncultured bacterium. Its description in RNAcentral is "partial 16S ribosomal RNA". It matches the Rfam family "Bacterial small subunit ribosomal RNA", at positions 28 to 507 of the family's 1533-position model. The record is from RNAcentral.
GACGAACGCUGGCGGCGUGCUUAACACAUGCAAGUCGAACGGUGAAGCGCCUUCCUUUUUGGUGGGUGUGGAUGAGUGGCGAACGGGUGAGUAACACGUGAGUAACCUGCCCCCUUCUUCUGGAUAACCGCAUGAAAGUGUGGCUAAUACGGGAUAUUCUGGGUCUGUCGCAUGAUGGGUCUGUGAAAGAUAUUGUUUCGGUGGGGGAUGGGCUCGCGGCCUAUCAGCUUGUUGGUGGGGUGAUGGCCUACCAAGGCGGUGACGGGUAGCCGGCCUGAGAGGGUGGACGGUCACACUGGGACUGAGACACGGCCCAGACUCCUACGGGCGGCAGCAGUGGGGAAUAUUGCACAAUGGGCGCAAGCCUGAUGCAGCGACGCCGCGUGAGGGAUGGAGGCCUUCGGGUUGUGAACCUCUUUCGCCAGUGAAGCAGGCCUGCCUCGUUUGUGGGUGGGUUGACGGUAGCUGGAUAAGAAGCGCCGGCUAACUACGUG